Molecule: ribosomal RNA, 253 nt
Filed under: uncultured bacterium
Lineage: Bacteria
Description: partial 16S ribosomal RNA
Rfam family: Bacterial small subunit ribosomal RNA
Source: RNAcentral
UACAGAGGGGGCAAGCGUUGUUCGGAAUUACUGGGCGUAAAGGGCGCGUAGGCGGCCGCCUAAGUCAGACGUGAAAUCCCUCGGCUCAACCGGGGAACUGCGUCUGAUACUGGGUGGCUUGAAUCCGGGAGAGGGAUGCAGAAUUCCAGGUGUAGCGGUGAAAUGCGUAGAUAUCUGGAGGAAUACCGGUGGCGAAGGCGGCAUCCUGGACCGGCAUUGACGCUGAGGAGCGAAAGCCAGGGGAGCAAACGGG